GAUACCCUGGUAGUCCACGCUGUAAACGAUGUCGACUUGGAGGUUGUUCCCUUGAGGAGUGGCUUCCGGAGCUAACGCGUUAAGUCGACCGCCUGGGGAGUACGGCCGCAAGGUUAAAACUCAAAUGAAUUGACGGGGGCCCGCACAAGCGGUGGAGCAUGUGGUUUAAUUCGAUGCAACGCGAAGAACCUUACCUACUCUUGACAUCCAGAGAACUUAGCAGAGAUGCUUUGGUGCCUUCGGGAACUCUGAGACAGGUGCUGCAUGGCUGUCGUCAGCUCGUGUUGUGAAAUGUUGGGUUAAGUCCCGCAACGAGCGCAACCCUUAUCCUUUGUUGCCAGCGGUUCGGCCGGGAACUCAAAGGAGACUGCCAGUGAUAAACUGGAGGAAGGUGGGGAUGACGUCAAGUCAUCAUGGCCCUUACGAGUAGGGCUACACACGUGCUACAAUGGCAUAUACAAAGAGAAGCGACCUCGCGAGAGCAAGCGGACCUCAUAAAGUAUGUCGUAGUCCGGAUCGGAGUCUGCAACUCGACUCCGUGAAGUCGGAAUCGCUAGUAAUCGUGGAUCAGAAUGCCACGGUGAAUACGUUCCCGGGCCUUGUACACACCGCCCGUCACACCAUGGGAGUGGGUUGCAAAAGAAGUAGGUAGC
This 653-nucleotide ribosomal RNA is filed under the name bacterium LB-177. Its description in RNAcentral is "bacterial SSU rRNA". It matches the Rfam family "Bacterial small subunit ribosomal RNA", at positions 781 to 1434 of the family's 1533-position model. The record is from RNAcentral.